This 333-nucleotide ribosomal RNA is filed under the name Pseudomonas aeruginosa. RNAcentral describes it as "partial 23S ribosomal RNA". It matches the Rfam family "Bacterial large subunit ribosomal RNA", at positions 1980 to 2312 of the family's 2925-position model. Lineage: Bacteria; Pseudomonadati; Pseudomonadota; Gammaproteobacteria; Pseudomonadales; Pseudomonadaceae. The record is from RNAcentral.
GUUCCGACCUGCACGAAUGGCGUAAUGAUGGCCAGGCUGUCUCCACCCGAGACUCAGUGAAAUUGAACUCGCUGUGAAGAUGCAGUGUACCCGCGGCAAGACGGAAAGACCCCGUGAACCUUUACUAUAGCUUGACACUGAACAUUGAGCCUUGAUGUGUAGGAUAGGUGGGAGGCUUUGAAGCGUGGACGCCAGUCUGCGUGGAGCCAACCUUGAAAUACCACCCUUUAAUGUUUGAUGUUCUAACGUUGGCCCCUGACCGGGGUUGCGGACAGUGUCUGGUGGGUAGUUUGACUGGGGCGGUCUCCUCCCAAAGCGUAACGGAGGAGUACG